CUUGCUUCUCUUGAGAGCGGCGGACGGGUGAGUAAUGCCUAGGAAUCUGCCUGGUAGUGGGGGAUAACGUCCGGAAACGGACGCUAAUACCGCAUACGUCCUACGGGAGAAAGCAGGGGACCUUCGGGCCUUGCGCUAUCAGAUGAGCCUAGGUCGGAUUAGCUAGUUGGUGGGGUAAUGGCUCACCAAGGCGACGAUCCGUAACUGGUCUGAGAGGAUGAUCAGUCACACUGGAACUGAGACACGGUCCAGACUCCUACGGGAGGCAGCAGUGGGGAAUAUUGGACAAUGGGCGAAAGCCUGAUCCAGCCAUGCCGCGUGUGUGAAGAAGGUCUUCGGAUUGUAAAGCACUUUAAGUUGGGAGGAAGGGCAGUAAAUUAAUACUUUGCUGUUUUGACGUUACCGAC
Molecule: ribosomal RNA, 407 nt
Filed under: uncultured bacterium
Lineage: Bacteria
Description: bacterial SSU rRNA
Rfam family: Bacterial small subunit ribosomal RNA
Source: RNAcentral